RNAcentral lists this ribosomal RNA (467 nucleotides) under uncultured soil bacterium. Its description in RNAcentral is "bacterial SSU rRNA". It matches the Rfam family "Bacterial small subunit ribosomal RNA", at positions 26 to 532 of the family's 1533-position model. The record is from RNAcentral.
AGAUUGAACGCUGGCGGCAGGCCUAACACAUGCAAGUCGAGCGGCCACUUCGGUGGCAGCGGCGGACGGGUGAGUAACGCGUGGGAAUGUGCCCUUUGGUACGGAACAACUGAGGGAAACUUCAGCUAAUACCGUAUGUGCCCUUCGGGGGAAAGAUUUAUUGCCAUUGGAGCAGCCCGCGUUGGAUUAGCUAGUUGGUGGGGUAAAGGCCCACCAAGGCGACGAUCCAUAGCUGGUCUGAGAGGAUGAUCAGCCACACUGGGACUGAGACACGGCCCAGACUCCUACGGGAGGCAGCAGUAGGGAACCUUGCGCAAUGGGCGAAAGCCUGACGCAGCCAUGCCGCGUGAAUGAUGAAGGUCUUAGGAUUAGUAAAAUUCGUUUACAACCGGGGAAGAUAAGUGACCGGUAACCCGGAGAAAGAACGCCCCGGACUAACGUUCGUCGCCGACGCACGUCCCGACGGU